GUCCCGGGGGCGAUCCACCCGCCCCAUCCUCUGGGACUCCCACCUUCCAGCUGCUGCCACGCCUCCUCUGUGAGGCCCGAGUUUCCACCCGGGUUCUGGGCCUUGUGGCCUCUCCCAGACUUAAUCCCUUGGGUGCUUUCUGUGCCUUGCAUCAUGUGAGUCUCAGUCAUCCCCACAGCUGGCCUCCCACCCUAAAUGUUGCCCUGACCUUGAGCUGCCUCCCAUUGGCGCCUUCCCAUCACCGUCCCUAGUGCCUCUCCUCCCCUCCUCCUGUCUGGUCUCCCUCUCAUGCUGUCCUGACGAUACUUGUGAAGUCGCUGGCCACUACGUUGCCCCUUUUCUCUUUCCUCUACUACCCAGCCUCUAACUGUUGACCUUGCUGAGCCUUUGGUUCUGGGCCCAUCUGGAGACCAUGAAGGAGCACUGCCAAGCUCUCCCCUCAGCAGAGCCACUGUGAGAAGUGCAGUUGCAAAGCCUCCCACGUUGGCCACGCCUGUCCUGAGUGUGGGGUUCGGGAGCCCCUGCCAUUGCUGUCACCAUGGACUCUGAGGGGUAACCUGCUUAGGAACCUGUCAGCUACACAAGACUUCCCGGAGCCGCCCAUGUCAGACCUGCAGCAGCUCCUCUGUUCCGCUUCCUCUCCCCCUUUAUCUUACACUCAGCCAUUUCCCCUGGGGCAGGCAGGGAGUGCUGCAGAGCUGACCCUGAUAUCCAGUAACUGGCCUAACCCCGGCCACGUUAUUCUGCUGGACAGAAGCAGGCUCAGGAUUCCAGCUUUGAACAGAGCUGUUUUGGGUUUGUGGGAAAGUAAGACAAAAAUCACUUCAUAAUUUAGGGUUAGAGUUACGCCCCUGAAUUCACAAUUUUGAGCACAGACUGCAAGUGAGUGAUUCUACACCUGAUGGGUCAAAAUGCAGGUGCACCAAAAAUGUGUGAAAUUUGCCUGCAGGCUGUGUGUUUAAAAGAUAUGCAAGGGCUGGGGAUUUAGCUCAGUGGUUCUGCCACCUGCCUCGAAAGAGCAAGGUCCCGAGUUCAAUCCCUGGUACCAAAAAAAAAAAAAAAAA
RNAcentral lists this long non-coding RNA (1064 nucleotides) under Heterocephalus glaber (naked mole-rat). Its description in RNAcentral is "lncRNA (ENSHGLG00000043790.1)". The record is from RNAcentral. Lineage: Eukaryota; Metazoa; Chordata; Mammalia; Rodentia; Bathyergidae.